GUCCCGGUCGGGGGUCCCAGUGCGCCUGCGCGGGAGCGCGACGGCCGGGGCUCGGCGGCGGGCCGGGCUGGGCGCGCGCCGGGAGCGGAGGAUGCGCCCCGCGGAUUUGCCAGUUCCUGUAUGCCGAUGGGAAUCGUGUUCUGGCUCCUUGACAGUGCUAUAGGAGAAGCUGAUGCUCUGAACAGUGAGCCUGGGGAACAAGACAGUGUGGAUUGCCUCCUGCCUUGCCUCUUCUCCCAGCUGCCUGCAGUGAGCUCUCACGUGCCAGAGGACGAGGGUGGAGGAGAGCAGCCACGUGAAGCUGGGACAGUGUGGCUGAGCCAAAGGGCUUUUGACCUGUGGGCUGUGGCAACUGGGGGUCCUCACCACCCUGCAGCAGAGACAAGUGGCUCCUGCCAGGUAGAUGCCUUCAGGGGAGUGGCCAGCUCCAGCUGAGCUGAUGAAUCUUGGCACCUGAUACAAGGCUCAGCUUCUGAUAUGAAGAAGGAUAUAGAGUCUUUAAUAGCCCAGGAAAAAGCAGAAAUCGUCGCCAAGUAUGAGAAGGGCAGACAGGAAGGAGCUCAGAUUGACCAGUGGGAAGAUGCCGAUUUCACCCUCUACAAAGUUACAGACCGGUUUGGAUUCCUGCACGAGCAGGAGCUGCCAACCCGCACCGCCUUGGAGGAGAAGCAAAAACAGCAGGAAAUAGAACGUGUGGACAAGUGGCUUAAGAUGCUGAAGAAGUGGGGCAAAUACAGAAACAGUGACAAGAUGUGCCGGCGUGUGUACAAAGGGAUCCCGCUUCAGGUGCGAGGCCAGGUCUGGUCACUUCUGCUGGAUGUCGAGAAGAUGAAGAAGGAGAAUGAAGGAAAAUAUGAGCAAAUGAAAGAACAAGCAAAGAGUUUUUCAUCGGAAAUCAAGCAGAUAGAUUUGGAUGUGAACCGCACCUUCCGAAACCACAUCAUGUUUCGGGAUCGCUACGGGGUGAAGCAACAGGCGCUCUUCCACGUCCUGUCAGCAUACUCAGUUUAUAACACUGAAGUGAGCUACUGCCAAGGGAUGAGCCAGAUUGCAGCCAUCCUCCUGAUGUACUUGAAUGAAGAGGACGCGUUCUGGGCGCUGGCACAGCUGCUCACCAACCAGCGCCACGCCAUGCACGGUUUUUUCAUUCCUGGGUUCCCGAAGCUGCAGAGGUUUCAAGCCCACCAUGAGCAAAUUUUAAACAAACUGUUCCCCAAACUGAAGAAGCACAUGGACAAGGAGCAGAUGACCACCGGGAUUUACACAACCAAGUGGUUCCUGCAGUGUUUCAUUGACCGGACCCCAUUCACGCUGACCUUGCGGCUGUGGGAUAUCUACAUCCUGGAAGGGGAGCGGGUGCUGACAGCCAUGGCUUACACCAUCCUCAAACUGCACAAAAAGCGCUUGCUGAAGAUGGCACUGGAAGAUUUACGUGAAUUUCUGCAGGAGAAAAUUGCUGCUUCCCUGCAGUACGAGGACGAUGCUGUCAUCGAGCAGCUGCAGGUGUCAAUGACUGAACUGCGCAAGAUGAAGUUUGACCUGCCCCCACCAGCAAAGCCUGAGGAGUUUCCAAGGAAACCCCUGGGCCUGGAGCUCUCCCUCAACCCAGUAGCCAUAAAGGAAAACACAGCAGCCAAUGGCCAGAAUGGCCAGGUGGGUGAGCACACCCCAGACAGGGAGCCCCAUCGCCACAAAGUUCCUGGCACACCAGGAGGAGUGACAGUGGUGGAAGCGAGGAUUCUCACCUUCCAGGGUAGUGAAGCAGCUGAAGCAACAAACGUGCCCGUUCCGGGUGGGCAGCCACCAGAUGAGGAGGGUCAGGUGGAGCCCAUCAUGGACGGGCAGCCAUCAUCUCUUCUGAAGGCAAGCGAGACGCAGGCCCAGCAACACCUCCUGCCCACAGUCCUGCCUCCAGAGCAGCCUCUUCUUGCUCCUGGCUGUGCCGUGGUGGACCAUGGAGUCUCCCUCCAUGCCCCAGCUGAACACAGCUCCUUAGACUCCUCUCUCCAAAACAGGCCGGCUCCUCCUGACUCCAGCACCGCUGAGCUUUCCUCUACGGACCAGGCAGUGUGGCAGCCAAAUCCCGCUGCCCUGCCAGCAGGAGAACAGGCAUCUUCCCUGAGCAGAGACGCAGUGCUUGAAGCAGCCCCCCAUCCUCUGCCAGCCGGCUGCCAGCAGCUCUCCUGCACUUCACAGAGCGAUGGCUCCCCCGAGAGCGAGCGCGGGGAGGAGGCGGCGGAUGACAGGCACUGCAGGGCGGUGCUGCCGGACAAAAUGGGCCUGAAGCACUCGGCAUCCAAAGCCGCAUCCACAGGAGAGCUCCUCAGCCUGCAGCACAACGGGCUGGGCAGUGCCACCAGCAGCACGCGCUGGCCCGAGGCCGUGGGCGUGCUGCCCGCGCACAGGCAGGCAGGGGGCAGUGUGCCCAUCUUGUCCAGCAGAGAGCCGGAGGCAGCAGGGAUGGCCGAGGGCUGCCCCACCCAGCGGGCACCGUCCCCUCUGGUGGAAGGGAACAGCCCCUAUGUCGUUAUCAAAACCACCACUCCACUCCAUCUGGCCCAUGCGACAGAGCAGGACUUCUUGAACAGAAAGCAGGUGGCAUUGCCUCUGUCAGAGACUGGACAUCCUCUGCCUACCACCUCCAUGCCACCACCUCUUAUGGCAGACCCAGAGGAGGCAGAGGUCCAGAAAAGCCUCCAGAAACCAUUAAAUGCACUGAAAGCCCCACGACCCCCGCUGAGCCCCAAACCAAAAUUACCGCCGCAGGUUGCCAAAUCCCGCUCAGAGAACAGUUUCCUUUCAGGCUCUCCUUCCAUGGCAAAGCUGCCCAAAUCGGUGACAUUCUAGUGGGGAUGGGGAAGGGGAAGUUAAGGGAGAAGAAGUGGGUUCUGGAGAAGCACCCUUGCCCCAUUUGCAGGAUCCCCUUCUGUCAGCAGGGCUGUCAGGGUGACAGCACAGCACCAUUGCACAUCAAGCUGUGCUUUGGUACGAGCGCCCAGCGAGGAGACGAAGCGGUGCCCACCAGCGCUAGGAGACACCAGCAGAUUGGAUUUGCAUGUUUCCUGUGGACAAAUUGGAAAAUGCUUUCAUUUUUUGUUCCUCAAAGCUCCCCAAGUCUCAUCACUUGGGGAAAGAGGCAGGGCUGGUGGGUUUGUUGCGCGUUUUCUCCUGCUCCUGUCUGCUGUGGGAACCCACGACCAAGCAAGCAGGCACAAGGUGUCAGAAUCUGAAACGCUUUCUUUACAACGCCCCAUCGGCACAGCUACAGCAUUGCUUUUAAAGGCCUUUGUAGCAAUAGAUCUUUAUUUCAUUUCCCAGACCUGCAGUUGCAGGCAGCAGAAUUUCCAGGCACUGCCAUGGCAUCCUGGCAGGACACAGGCAGCCCGCUGCCCCCUCUAUGCAAUUCCACAAAGCAGUGCCCGGCUGUGUCUGGCUCCUGCUGCUGUGGUGGAUGGUGUUUAGGAGGACAGAUUUAACAGCUGCUGAGUCCCUUGGACAUCUCCUUGGUCACCCCAGUGUGGAGCUGCCAGCAGAGUGGUUCUUUCCCAGGUUCUCAGGGUGACAAGGACAGUGACAAAGGUGGAGCCUGGUCUCUUGGGCUGAGUGCCCUUUCUGCUGGCCUUUCCUUCCCAGGGCCAGUGCAGCGAGCAGGCUCGCUGCCUUUCUGUUCCCCAAACAGGAAAAGGGGCUGCUGGCUCGGGAAACCUGCCUGCACUACCAAGCUGCUGGACAUGUGAUGGCAUCCAAUCACAGUGCCCCAGAUAAGUCCACUUUUGCUUUGAGUUAAAAUCUGGCUUGAAACACCACAGAAAAACAAAAAGAAAGCCCCAGCACCACUGAACACUACAGUUUACUGUCACAGAAGCAGCCUGAGGAUGCAGCUCUUCACACAUCUGUGCCAUUUCACACUGGAUGCCAGCACAGGGAUGCAGCACUGUGACCAAGGGUGAGAUCCCCAGGCUGGAGAGAAGCAAACCUCAUCCCUCCUGUGUUCCAGGUGCUCACAAGCAGCCUCAUUGCACAUGCUGCUUUGUGUCACCUCCCAGCCACCAGCUCCUGUGAACCUGUUGGCUCUCAGGCAGUGCCAGCUGGGACCAGGUUUGAACAUCUGCCAUGGUUACUUACGUGACAGGGAGUGCAGGGUUCAGAAAUGGCAUUUAUCCAACUGCUUAAACAGCAUCCCUGUCAAGGAGAGAGCAGAAGUGUCCAGAAGGGCAGCUUCCUCAAGAGAACGUGAGUUGUGCUAGGUUUGAGGGUUGUGUUCCUCCAUUAAACAGCACCAGCAGCACCAGGUCAUGGCAUGCUCCUUGCAGCAGGGAGGUGCUCAUGUCCCUGAGGGGAUGGGAGGGUAGACAGCUCCUGUGUCAUUCCAGUACCCCUUGCCCCCUCCUGUGCCCCCCAGGGCCUGACUGCUGCUAGCAGGGGACAAAUAUUAGGACAAUCCCAAAGCCCAAGGUUACAGAUACCCACUUGAUGGACAUCAUUGGGACCAGUAGCAAAUGAGUGUCAUAGAUGGUGUUGAGGCUGCUGAUUAAAUCCUAGAGGUCUUAUCAGCCAGGGACUGGUCCUCCCACUGCCUCUUCCUCUGCACUUGGUAUUUGCCAGUAUUAACAUCCCCCUUUUCCUGGUGGAGCCAUUGCUGUUGUCACAGCAGCUCUCCAGCUCCCAGGGCUGGUUCCCAAGGCAGAAUUGCAAACUCCCCAAGCUGUGCUCAGCUUUGGUGCCCUGGCAGACCCCUGUGGCUCCUGUUCUUCCUGGCUCAAGAACAGCCAAACCAGCAGCUGCAGGAGCUGGGACAGGCAGGAGAGCAGGUCUGUCCUCACUGCUCGCUGACUCUCAGCCAAGCCCCAGCUGUGCUCAUCACCAUCCCUGCCCACCUCCCACGACAUGGAAAGCUCAUCAACCACUGCAUGCCUCCACAAGGCUUCAGCCACUUGGCACUGAAUAAUUGAUGCUAAGUGGAGCCUGGAGCAGACAAGCUGCGGGAGGGAGCAAGGCUUUGUGCUGCUUUAGGCUCUGCUCCCAGGAUAUAGCAGGGGGAGAGAGAUGGGUGUGCUGUGUCUGGCAGCUUUGUGCCCCAGCCAGUUAUGCAGAGGCAGUUAGAGUUUGGCUGGGCCUGAGAGUGUUCUUCCUCUUGGCCUUGCUGUGCUGCUCACGUGCUGCUGUGUCCUACUGCCAUGGUGGUGCUGCUGCGCUGUCAUCCGUCACCUGCUGCUGUGGCUGCGUGCUGCUGUCGUGCUCCUUGUGUGCUGCAGAGGGGACAUGCAGCAGUGGAUGGGACUUGGGGAGCAGAUCAAGGGCAUCCCCAGUCCCAGUAGCCCUCACUAGGGCUGGUGCCAUGGCUCUCUUAAGAUACACACCCUGCACUCGACCCAUAGAAAGAGCAAAGUGGUUGCACAUGGGGCCAAGCCCAUCUGCCUCUUCCUCUUCCCACCAGCUGCUGGUCGCCAGGAUGGUGGCUGUCACACCAUCCUCUGAGCAAUGUCACUCCCUUCCUACAGCACAUCCCGAAGUAUAAAGCAGUAUAUGGAGAAAAUAACAGCCUGGCAGUUUAAAGAGGCAGGUCUGACAGCUUCCCAAACCAUCUCCCAAAUCCUACUGCCUCAGCAGCUAAGGAGGCCCACAGGGCAUACACCAGCAUCCUCUUCACCUAGAAGGAUGUGGACACCAGGAUACCACCAAACAUCUCACCAGGAGAUGCAGCAGGUGGACCCAUCCCAUGGGCAUCCUUACUCCCUGGCAGCAUUUACAAGAGUCCAAGAUGGGGAUGGAGAAGACUUAGAAGGCACACAUGAAGACACAAGUCCAAGAAACUGGAGUCACUAAAUCCUGGCUAUUCUUCCACAUAGUAAAACAGGCUCCUCCUAAGACACAGAGAAAAGUAAACUAAGAAAUUUUCAAUUUUGUCCAAAACUGGUAUGAGCUCCCUUAGAGGUACCUGUGGCUACAUGGGAUGCAGUAUCACAAGCCCCACUUCCAACCAUCCCAUUAAGAACCUGGGCCACUCUGAUGCCCUGGAGGCUGCUCAGCCUGGCCUCACAUCAGAGCCCUGCUCCUGGGACAUCUAAGCCUACAGACUUAGAUAACCUCAGGCUUGGGGAAGCUGUUUCUUGAGUGGCUUUGCUUACCUUUAUGGUGAAGGCAAGAAGUGAUACAGAAGUACUGCUUAGGCUGGAAAGAUGUGCAACAGUGGCUGUAGUCCAGAUGGGAAACCUGGGUCUGCUCCUCUACCAAACCACAACUGCAGGCGAGGAGGAUGAGGCCAGCAUUUAGCCAAAGCUGCUCUGUAAUACUCAGCCUUUCUUUCAGCUUCCCCCACCACCACCCUCACAUCUCAGGUCUCUCCCCAGCACUGAGUCAUUGCUGCCAGCUCCUGCACAACCCAGGUCUUUGCCAAAGCCCUCAGCAAGCACUGUGCACUCACCUGCUUUGGAGUCGCCCUCUCUGCUGGCUUAGGAGAAUGCUCCUGUGGAAGCCCUCACAGACCAAAAGGCAUGAGAUCUGUUCCAGCACUUGAUCAGCAUCUUUAAGGACUUGUAAGCAAUUCUGGCAGUUGACUCAGCUGUGAUGUCUCUGGAGCCCCAACCCCUCUGUAACAGGGUGUGGGGCACUUGAAUGAUGUGAGAGAAGAACACGUGUUAUACGCCUGUCCUGAGACAUCUGGACCUGACCAGACUAGAACAGACCUCAUCAGCUCUUCUGUAAUUUAAGUACGGGUUCAAAGGUGGCACUCCUCCAUCAUGGGAUAUGCAGUCUCAACAUAAUCAGUAGGAGGCUGACUGAAGCCGUCUCAGAGCUGGUUUUCACACUGGCUGGAGAUCCACAGCACAGCACAAAUUUAGUUCAGCUUUGGCAUGGCCAGCUGAAGACAUCACAACAGCCAGAGAUGAGCUGAUGUACUCAAAUAUAGCAAAAAGCUCACCUCUGUGGACUCUUCCAGCUUCAGCUAUGCAACAGGAAUAAUCAAAAUACAUUCUGCUCGCCUGAGCUGUGCUUCUGAAGCAGAACUGAGGUACACAACAGAAUCCUUGUCAUAAGGGAAAUAACUGCAGUGUCUGAAAAUUUCAUCUUAACCCCCCAAUUUCUUCUCCAAACCUACAUUAACUCCAGGGAAACUGUAAUCCUGGUAUUACUUUCAGACUCGAGAAGUUCAGCUAGCACAUCAGAACACAUGGUGAGCUCAUGUACCGAUGUCCUGCCUGUCAGGGGCCAGCAAGAUGAUGUCCUGUCCCCAGAUCAUCAGCACCAAGGUAGCAAGUGAAAAACCUAAGUCAAGAGUAACAGCUCCACCUGAGGGAAGUGAUACAAUCUGGUUUUUGCCAACAGCAAAGAUCAGACCAGAUCACAGCUGAGGCAUCUUGAUCUGUGGUGAUUUUCCUCCUGGAACAAAGAUGCAGUACGACAAUACAAAGUUAAUACGUGGUUUUUGGAGACGAUCUGUGGUGUCAAGCUUUUCACACCUCCUUUUGCUCCUAACCUACCUCCAACCUUUAGCAUGGACUUGAACAAUGACCUGAGUCUGGAUUUCUUGUGACCCAGUUACAGUAAAAAACUAACCAGCUCCUGUGAUAGUCUGUCACUGACCAGGACUGUCUGACAAGCUUGAAAAUCUUCCCGAGUGCAGAAACCUCUCUGAAAGAUGCUAUUACUUCAACUUCCUGCUCCUCACCAAACUCUUCUAAGUAGUUGAUAUUCUGGCCAGUGCUGUUCUAGCAUAGCUUCACCAAGAUGUGCCAGUUUCUUGGAACUGCAGCUAUUACCUGCCCUGUGAAGACACCUUGGCCCUGGCACUCCCUGGAGCUCUUCAGCUUCCUUGACUGCAGCUCCCAGUAUUUGGCAUUUGUCUCCCAGCCAGAAAUGAUGGGAGACUCUCAGUGGUUAGAGCCACCAGGUCCCUGAGAGAGCCCCAGAGUGUUACUUCUCCUCUGAAGACCUCCAGAUAGAUCUAUCCCAUCCUUCACCAAGGGCCUGAGGAAGGAAGGGGUAAGUCCUACUGCAGAUGAAGAGCACCAGGUUCCUAGUGCAGUAACACUACCAAGCAAGGGCCCCCAUGUCAUCUUCUAGAAGGACAAAGUACUGCUGUCCUGUGGCCAGUUGUGCACAAGAUGCCAACUUUAGGAACAACCCCCAUACGUCCAGUCUUCACACUUGAAACAACUCAGAGUGGGAGUUCAGCACUAGGUUCAGCAGUCCUUCGGCACAGGGACAGACACUGCUGUAAACAGCACACCCAGCUAAAGGCAGGGCACUCUCCCCUCAGGUAACUUCUCCCACUCCAGGAGCUGGUAUCAGCCCUUCUGCAGGAACAGGGUGCCAGGCAGCUGCAGCCAGGGUGGGGGCUGUGCCCUACAGCAGUUCAGAGCAGGCAUUUACAGAAAGCAAGCCAUUAGCACAAGUCCUCUCUUGCCCAGGCCAAAAGCAAAGACAGUACCCCCAAGGAGCAUGGGAGUUGAAUUCUGUUGCUUUAAUUCUGCUGCUGCCUGGCAUGAUGGAGGAUGGGGAGUGGGAUGGGAGAUUGCUUGCAAGGAUGCUGGGAAACCCUGGGUGGGCUGUGGCUUUGUGCUGGGGGUGACCAGGGUUUCUUUACUGGUUUUGCCACAUGAGGCAUGUGACUCACACCACCCUUGCUGCUCCCAACCCAGACCAACCUUGGCUGCCAAACCCAGCACCUCUUCAGGCCUGGGCUAGCCCAUGCAGAACAGCUCCCUGCCACACUCACCUGGAUCACCUUCCCCCUUUGAUGCUUCUAAUUCUGGAUGCCAGGUAAAUUAGCCUGUGCAAUAGCUUGGAAGAGGGAAAGACAACGAGUACUGAGCUACCCACUGCACUGAAUGCAAUGCCUUGUCUUGGGGCUGCAAGUAAAAGGCAUGUAGGUCAGACCUCAGGCAAAAACCCCAAAGGAGCAGAGCUGAGCAGACAGAGUUCCCAACAGAUUAGCCCUAAUCCAAAACACUCUUACCCACUUGAAACCCAGGGACUGAAAGCCUGAAUCCUUUAGUCUUAGUUGCUGAGCAGCCUUAGGCUUCUGCAGUGCAGGAGAGCCCUUCUCGACAUGCUCACCAGUCAGGAAGCCGUGCACAGGGUAGACAAGGAUUUGCUUACCUGUACCUACUGGAGCAGCCCAAGGUGUAUGUGCUAUACAGGUGUUAGCAUAGCUAGGGCUGGAGGGGACCAAAAAGUCCCAAUUAUACCUCUAGAGCACAAUACAUGAGGGAAGUCUUGUGCCAGAAAGAGCUGACAGGAAAGGAAUCAGGGAAGGAACAAACUGGUACCAACUGAGGUGAAACCAGCUCUCCAGUCUGCUCGUUGAUGCUUCUUCCCUUCCAGGCAUUGUAUCUGAGGUCAUAAAUCCCACAAGGACUAGGCUGAAAGCAAAGUACUCAAGAGAUGCCAAGAACAGGCUUGGACUGGUUGCACUCUUCCACCCUCCCAAAACUUGGGGCCAGCAGAGUUCCAGGUGGGCUGGGGAGGACAUAACAAAGACUUGCUGGAGACAGAGACAAGCUAUCUUGCCGUAAGAGCUUGUCUCUCCCACCCCAGUCACUUCCAUGAUCUACAGCAUGACCUUGGUCUGUGAAGAGAAAAGUCUCAGCACUCUUUCCUCCCCGCCAUCCCACCAGUGAUCCUUCCAGAGCACCAGCAGCAGUAGCCUCUGGAAGGAGGACACAGCCAUCAAGGUGAUUUGUUGAGACAAUCAAAUAAUAAUUUACUGUGAUUCAA
This is an RNA transcript of Passer domesticus (house sparrow), 9720 nucleotides long. It is a transcript of the gene named USP6 N-terminal-like protein, with no coding region annotated. The record is from RefSeq and is a predicted model, not a curated record. The transcript is spliced from 17 exons. Lineage: Eukaryota; Metazoa; Chordata; Aves; Passeriformes; Passeridae.